UUAUAUGAAAAAUUAUUUAAACUAUUUUUUUAUUUAAAACUUUUAUUUUUUGUAUUUUUAAAAUAAAAAUAUAUAAUAUUAUAAAAAACAUUUUAAAGAUGAAUCAAAUAAGUCCAUAAUCACAAUUAAAAGUUUUGGUAAAAAAAUAGGUUUAUUAAUGCAAUAGUUAGUACUAAUAUCUAACUUUGUGUUUAUUUUUUAAAAAAAAUAUCUAAUUUAAAAC
RNAcentral lists this long non-coding RNA (223 nucleotides) under Lathyrus oleraceus (garden pea). Its description in RNAcentral is "Pisum sativum (pea) long non-coding RNA (PSAT_LNC035426)". The record is from RNAcentral. Lineage: Eukaryota; Viridiplantae; Streptophyta; Magnoliopsida; Fabales; Fabaceae.